UAUAGUAUUCAAUAAUAUUUUAAAACAACUUAUUUUGUCAGGAUCGUAAGAUAGCAGCAUAAAGUUUAAAUAAAAAAUUUGUAUUAAUACUAUAUCU
RNAcentral lists this non-coding RNA (97 nucleotides) under Chaetoceros laevisporus. The record is from RNAcentral. Lineage: Eukaryota; Bacillariophyta; Thalassiosirophyceae; Chaetocerotales; Chaetocerotaceae.